GAUGAAGAACGUAGCGAAAUGCGAUAAGUAAUGUGAAUUGCAGAAUUCAGUGAAUCAUCGAAUCUUUGAACGCCCAUUGCGUCCGCCAGUAUUCUGGCGGGCAUGCCUGUCUGAGCGUCAUUUCAACCCUCAUGCCCCUAGGGCGUGGUGUUGGGGAUCGGCCAAAGCCCGCGAGGGACGGCCGGCCCCUAAAUCUAGUGGCGGACCCGUCGUGGCCUCCUCUGCGAAGUAGUGAUAUUCCGCAUCGGAGAGCGAUGAGCCCCUGCCGUUAAACCCCCAACUUUCCAAGGUUGACCUCAGAUCAGGUAGGAAUACCCGCUGAACUUAAGCAUAUCAAUAAGCGGAGGA
RNAcentral lists this unclassified non-coding RNA (348 nucleotides) under soil metagenome. RNAcentral's name for it is "partial contains 5.8S ribosomal RNA, internal transcribed spacer 2, and large subunit ribosomal RNA". The stretch from base 1 to 120 matches the Rfam family "5.8S ribosomal RNA", at positions 35 to 154 of the family's 154-position model. The record is from RNAcentral.